AUCCUGGCUCAGGACGAACGCUGGCGGCGUGCCUAAUACAUGCAAGUCGAGCGGACAGAAGGGAGCUUGCUCCCGGAUGUUAGCGGCGGACGGGUGAGUAACACGUGGGUAACCUGCCUGUAAGACUGGGAUAACUCCGGGAAACCGGAGCUAAUACCGGAUAGUUCCUUGAACCGCAUGGUUCAAGGAUGAAAGACGGUUUCGGCUGUCACUUACAGAUGGACCCGCGGCGCAUUAGCUAGUUGGUGGGGUAAUGGCUCACCAAGGCGACGAUGCGUAGCCGACCUGAGAGGGUGAUCGGCCACACUGGGACUGAGACACGGCCCAGACUCCUACGGGAGGCAGCAGUAGGGAAUCUUCCGCAAUGGACGAAAGUCUGACGGAGCAACGCCGCGUGAGUGAUGAAGGUUUUCGGAUCGUAAAGCUCUGUUGUUAGGGAAGAACAAGUGCGAGAGUAACUGCUCGC
RNAcentral lists this ribosomal RNA (466 nucleotides) under Bacillus sp. GR1-6. RNAcentral's name for it is "bacterial SSU rRNA". It matches the Rfam family "Bacterial small subunit ribosomal RNA", at positions 16 to 472 of the family's 1533-position model. Lineage: Bacteria; Bacillati; Bacillota; Bacilli; Caryophanales; Bacillaceae. The record is from RNAcentral.